This 414-nucleotide ribosomal RNA is filed under the name uncultured microorganism. Its description in RNAcentral is "bacterial SSU rRNA". It matches the Rfam family "Archaeal small subunit ribosomal RNA", at positions 459 to 872 of the family's 1478-position model. The record is from RNAcentral.
CAGCCGCCGCGGUAAUACCGGCGGCCCGAGUGGCGGUCACUAUUAUUGGGCUUAAAACGUCCGUAGCCGGGUUGGGAAGUCCUCCGGGAAAUCUGGCCGCUUAACGGUCAGAAUGCCGGAGGAUACUCCCAGCCUAGGGAGCGGGAGAGGCCGAGGGUAUUCCCGGAGUAGGGGGGAAAUCCUAUAAUCCCGGGAGGACCACCUGUGGCGAAGGCGCUCGGCUGGAACGCGUCCGACGGUGAGGGACGAAGGCCAGGGGAGCAAACCGGAUUAGAUACCCGGGUAGUCCUGGCUGUAAACGAUGCGGACUUUGUGUCGGACAAGCUAUGAGCUUGUCCGGUGCCGGAGGGAAACCGUUAAGUCCGCCGCCUGGGGAGUACGGCCGCAAGGCUGAAACUUAAAGGAAUUGGCGGG